RNAcentral lists this ribosomal RNA (171 nucleotides) under uncultured Curvibacter sp. RNAcentral's name for it is "partial 16S ribosomal RNA". It matches the Rfam family "Bacterial small subunit ribosomal RNA", at positions 359 to 525 of the family's 1533-position model. The record is from RNAcentral. Lineage: Bacteria; Pseudomonadati; Pseudomonadota; Betaproteobacteria; Burkholderiales; Comamonadaceae.
CUAGAUUGGCAUGGGGGCAGCCUGAUCCAGCCAUGCCGCGUGAGUGAUGAAGGCCUUCGGGUUGUAAAGCUCUUUUGUCCGGGAAGAUACUGACGGUGCUAAUAGAAGAAGCCCAGGACAGUACCGGGACAACAAGCACGGUCAUACUACGUGCCAGCAGCCGCGAUAAUA